UGAAGGACUUGUGAAAAUUUUUAAAUCAUAAAUAACGUCAUAAAUAAAUCUUAAAAUCAGGGCACAUGGAGCGUCAUGAGAUCGACAUGUUUGACGAGUCCGGCAAGCUACUCGAGAAGCGCGAGCAGGGAUAUAGAUAUUCAAAGUGAUCAAAGAUAUUAAAAUAUAAGCUAUUAUUAACUUAUUAUUAUAUAUAUAUAUCAACAUAUAUACAAAUAUGUAUUAAAUAAAAUAUACAGGCUGUCUCUAAAAUCGUCGUACAAACGGUCGUAUGCAAUGUAUAAUUAUAUAAUAAAAUGUGAAAAAAAUCGCUUUAUUUUCUAAAAAGACAAAAAUUACCUGAAACUGGGAUUCUUGAUACAUGCAACAAUCACUAACAUUUGGCCCGUAUAUAUUACAAAGUCGUUUUCCUAUUGCAUCGUACACCGUAAAACUGGAACCUAUUAUAUGCAAAUUUUGUCCUAUUGUGCCAAUUAAAUUUGGGCUUAGCACCGACAUACUCUGUACAAUGAAAUUUUCAUCUUUUUGUUAUAUGGAAGAUGAUAUACAUACCUUGUGGUUGUGCCGUAAUGACGGUUGGCCCCGAAAGGACAGGAACUGUAUUGGAUACCGAAUUCUGUUGCAUUUCUAUAUACUGGGUGGUUACCUGGUUUG
This is a long non-coding RNA of Bombus impatiens (common eastern bumble bee), 654 nucleotides long. RefSeq lists it as uncharacterized. The record is from RefSeq and is a predicted model, not a curated record. NCBI's taxonomy places the organism in Eukaryota, Metazoa, Arthropoda, Insecta, Hymenoptera, Apidae. The transcript has 4 exons.